AGGAUGAACGCUGGCGGCGUGCUUAACACAUGCAAGUCGAGCGAAGCACCUUGACGGAUUUCUUCGGAUUGAAGCCUUGGUGACUGAGCGGCGGACGGGUGAGUAACGCGUGGGUAACCUGCCUCGUACAGGGGGAUAACAGUUGGAAACGGCUGCUAAUACCGCAUAAGCGCACAGUACCGCAUGGUACGGUGUGAAAAACUCCGGUGGUAUGAGAUGGACCCGCGUCUGAUUAGGUAGUUGGUGGGGUAACGGCCUACCAAGCCGACGAUCAGUAGCCGACCUGAGAGGGUGACCGGCCACAUUGGGACUGAGACACGGCCCAAACUCCUACGGGAGGCAGCAGUGGGGAAUAUUGCACAAUGGGGGAAACCCUGAUGCAGCGACGCCGCGUGAGCGAUGAAGUAUUUCGGUAUGUAAAGCUCUAUCAGCAGGGAAGAAAAUGACGGUACCUGACUAAGAAGCCCCGGCUAACUACGUGCCAGCAGCCGCGGUAAUACGUAGGGGGCAAGCGUUAUCCG
RNAcentral lists this ribosomal RNA (521 nucleotides) under Mediterraneibacter gnavus ATCC 29149. RNAcentral describes it as "SSU rRNA". It matches the Rfam family "Bacterial small subunit ribosomal RNA", at positions 26 to 547 of the family's 1533-position model. The record is from RNAcentral. Lineage: Bacteria; Bacillati; Bacillota; Clostridia; Lachnospirales; Lachnospiraceae.